Molecule: ribosomal RNA, 253 nt
Filed under: uncultured bacterium
Lineage: Bacteria
Description: partial 16S ribosomal RNA
Rfam family: Bacterial small subunit ribosomal RNA
Source: RNAcentral
UACGUAGGGUGCAAGCGUUGUCCGGAAUUAUUGGGCGUAAAGAGCUCGUAGGCGGUCUGUCGCGUCUGCUGUGAAAACUCGGGGCUUAACCCCGGGCCUGCAGUGGGUACGGGCAGACUAGAGUGCGGUAGGGGAGACUGGAAUUCCUGGUGUAGCGGUGAAAUGCGCAGAUAUCAGGAGGAACACCGGUGGCGAAGGCGGGUCUCUGGGCCUGCACUGACGCUCAUGCACGAAAGCGUGGGGAGCAAACAGG